AGCCUACGGGACGCAGCAGUGAGGAAUAUUGGUCAAUGGGCGCGAGCCUGAACCAGCCAAGUCGCGUGAGGGAUGACGGUCCUAUGGAUUGUAAACCUCUUUUGCCGGGGAGCAGGCGUGCGUUCGUGAACGCGCGUCGAGAGUACCCGGAGAAAAAGCAUCGGCUAACUUCGUGCCAGCAGCCGCGGUAAUACGGAGGAUGCGAGCGUUAUCCGGAUUUAUUGGGUUUAAAGGGUGCGUAGGCGGGAUGCCAAGUCAGCGGUAAAAAUGCGGUGCUCAACGCCGUCGAGCCGUUGAAACUGGCC
This 305-nucleotide ribosomal RNA is filed under the name uncultured bacterium. RNAcentral describes it as "bacterial SSU rRNA". It matches the Rfam family "Bacterial small subunit ribosomal RNA", at positions 335 to 638 of the family's 1533-position model. The record is from RNAcentral.